This 83-nucleotide transfer RNA is filed under the name bacterium. Its description in RNAcentral is "tRNA-Leu". It matches the Rfam family "tRNA". Rfam says of the family: Transfer RNA (tRNA) molecules are approximately 80 nucleotides in length. Their secondary structure includes four short double-helical elements and three loops (D, anti-codon, and T loops). RNAcentral also lists the same sequence under 1 other name. The record is from RNAcentral.
GCCGCGGUGGUGAAAUUGGUAUACACGCCAGUCUUAGGAACUGGUAGGUUUAUCCUGUGGGAGUUCGAGUCUCCCCCGCGGCA